This 497-nucleotide ribosomal RNA is filed under the name uncultured bacterium. Its description in RNAcentral is "partial 16S ribosomal RNA". It matches the Rfam family "Bacterial small subunit ribosomal RNA", at positions 28 to 507 of the family's 1533-position model. The record is from RNAcentral.
GACGAACGCUGGCGGCGUGCCUAAUACAUGCAAGUAGAACGCUGAAGAGAGGAGCUUGCUCUUCUUGGAUGAGUUGCGAACGGGUGAGUAACGCGUAGGUAACCUACCUUGUAGCGGGGGAUAACUAUUGGAAACGAUAGCUAAUACCGCAUAACAAUGGAUGACACAUGUCAUUUAUUUGAAAGGGGCAAUUGCUCCACUACAAGAUGGACCUGCGUUGUAUUAGCUAGUAGGUGAGGUAAUGGCUCACCUAGGCGACGAUACAUAGCCGACCUGAGAGGGUGAUCGGCCACACUGGGACUGAGACACGGCCCAGACUCCUACGGGAGGCAGCAGUAGGGAAUCUUCGGCAAUGGGGGCAACCCUGACCGAGCAACGCCGCGUGAGUGAAGAAGGUUUUCGGAUCGUAAAGCUCUGUUGUAAGUCAAGAACGGGUGUGAGAGUGGAAAGUUCACACUGUGACGGUAGCUUACCAGAAAGGGACGGCUAACUACGUG